CCAAAAUCGUGGGACUGGUCUGAGUGAAAGUGAUAAGGCUUUGGCUCACCAGCCUUCACGAGAACAGGCAGAGGCGAGUUAAGUAGAUUUCCACGAGUGAAGAAAUCAACGCUGGGUAGCGUGGCUGAUACCAAGUUCCUCACCAUCCAAUUCUUUUCACCUUGAUUGUGUUAUGGAAACUGUUGGAGUCUGUGAAAUGCAGUUUGGAAUUUGAUCAAAUGAUCUAGUGCUCUUCCCUGUGUGGGGAACUCACUCAUGGAAAGACCAGAGAUGGGCACAGGAUUGUGAGCCACUCCAUUUCAAAACCUCGAGGAAGAUUGAAGCACUGAGGAGAAUGCGGAGGGGGUCAGUGAUCGCUCGUAACAGAGGCCACGGGGGUGACGACGGUCGAUAGCCGAGUAGUGGCAUUCAGACCUGGUGUGGCGGUUGCUUUUCAUGGAAAGACUGAGUUCAUGCAGCCACACUCCAAGAAAGUUGGUGGGAAGAUGACUUUCUUUCAGAUUUGUGGUGUUUUCUCCUGUGGCCGAUUGGCAGGAGGGUGAUCUGUUAAUUUUGUGAAAGGGAGGGGUUGAGGAUUUGGAGUCUGAUGUUCUUGUUGGCAGUUUUCUGUUAGGUUUUGUGUGGGUUUUGAUGCUAUUGUCACUGUUCUUUUCUGUGAGUGAAGGAUUGGGGAUUUAAUGUUAUUGUUGUUGUUUUUUGUCCUCUCAGCUGGAGGUGGGGGGGGGGGGCUUCAGAAUUUGUGCGUUUUGCUUCUUUUUCUUUUUCAUGCCAUUUGGGGAAAUUAAUGUAUUUUAUUUCAACAACUCGCAUGGCUUUUCUGUAUUUUAUGGCUAUCUGGAGAAGAUGAAUACAGUAUCAGAGUUGUAUUGUGCA
This is a long non-coding RNA of Mobula hypostoma (lesser devil ray), 873 nucleotides long. RefSeq lists it as uncharacterized. The record is from RefSeq and is a predicted model, not a curated record. NCBI's taxonomy places the organism in Eukaryota, Metazoa, Chordata, Chondrichthyes, Myliobatiformes, Myliobatidae. The transcript has 3 exons.